ACUCCUACGGGAGGCAGCAGUAAGGAAUAUUGCGCAAUGGGCGACAGCCUGACGCAGCGACGCCGCGUGGGGGAUGAAGGUCUUCGGAUUGUAAACCCCUUUCGGCAGGGAAGAUGGAACGGGCAACCGUUCGGACGGUACCUGCAGAAGCAGCCACGGCUAACUUCGUGCCAGCAGCCGCGGUAAUACGAAGGUGGCAAGCGUUGUUCGGAUUUACUGGGCGUACAGGGUGCGUAGGCGGUUCGGUAAGCCCUUCGUGAAAUCUCCAGGCUCAACCUGGAAAGUUCGGAGGGGACUGCCGGGCUAGAGGAUGGGAGAGGAGCGCGGAAUUCCCG
Molecule: ribosomal RNA, 335 nt
Filed under: uncultured bacterium
Lineage: Bacteria
Description: bacterial SSU rRNA
Rfam family: Bacterial small subunit ribosomal RNA
Source: RNAcentral